GUUGGGUGUGGCGAAAUAGUAGAAGGUAAUAAUGACUAAAAUUUGGGCAGCAAACAAAAACUAAAUUUCAAAACUAGCUCUCUUUUUUUUCACAAUUUUUUUUUCAAAUUUUUUUUUCAAAAUUUUUUUUUCACAACUUGAUAUUCAAUCUUUUAAGUUUGAAUGGAAACUAGUUUUUUUUUGAAUUUUUUUUGAAUUUUUUUUCGAGUUUUUUUUCGAGAAACUACUAUACCGUAAUGCCGACAACGUCGAUUCUUACUCCAAAUUUGCUAGCUCUGAUACCAAUUUGAUACGAGCUCGUCUCGUGAUGUUUUGAGUCGUAUGUGUCGCCUAAUCGUGAAUUGAGUAAGGAUGGAUUCGUUUUGGUUUUAAAAUGAAACAAAAUAGAGAUAAUGGCUUCAAACAAAG
RNAcentral lists this long non-coding RNA (408 nucleotides) under Gossypium raimondii (Peruvian cotton). Its description in RNAcentral is "long non-coding RNA (GRAI_LNC007407)". Lineage: Eukaryota; Viridiplantae; Streptophyta; Magnoliopsida; Malvales; Malvaceae. The record is from RNAcentral.